Molecule: long non-coding RNA, 971 nt
Organism: Homo sapiens (human)
Lineage: Eukaryota; Metazoa; Chordata; Mammalia; Primates; Hominidae
Source: Ensembl
AAUCAUUGCAGUGUGGCCAGAGAGGAGCAGACGAGAUUAUAGAUGAAAGUAGAGAAAAACGGUGGGCAGGGGCAGGGAGAGGAAAGGCCAGACAAAUGCAAUCAUUUCUCCAAAGGAUUUGAGAAGAGAUCAUUUAUUUGAAAUAUUCCUGCCAUGUUGAUGGAGCAGCUCAAUCUUUUGCCAGUGAAUCUUUAGCGUUUUGUUUUUCAUUUGUAGAUAUGGUUGAACAUAUACUUAGGACACGUAAUAACUAUGGAACUUCAUCACAAACACAGCACUGAGGACAUGUUAUAUUUUGCUGCUAAAAUUAGUUGGAGUUGGGAGGAGGAGCACUGGGGCAUAACCGUCAGCAGCUGCAGCUUGGAGAAGCUGGUUCUCUUGUCUUCAAGAAGGCAGAUCUCUCCCUAGCCUGCUGAGCCUUCUGUGUUUUGGGGAAGAAGAACUUGAUGUAUACCUCCUGACCUGUUCAUCUUGUAGCUGCCUCUUGACAGAUAUAAGAGGCCGCCCUGUAGAGGAGGAAGGAGGAAGUUGGCUGUGAUUGACCUUGCUAGGUCAUCUUCCUAAUCUUUGUCCUUUCCUGCACCCCAAAUGGAAGAUAAAAGGCAAUGCAAGAUCAGCAUCCUCAGAGACAUCGUUUUGUUUGGGUUUCAUGGAUUGCAAUUGCCAGAGAUGCUUAGGCUGCCUCUAGAGGGAAGAUGAUUGAUUGUUAACCUAUGUGGUCCAACCAAAUGUCUUAGGGGUUAUUGAUAAUUAAAAUGGACAAUAGCGAUUUUCCAUUUCUUCUGGCCUUGGGUGCUGGCAUGUGGAAGUGGUAUUGAUACUCAUGACCAAAUAGGCACUUAUCGAUUUCAGUUUUCAUAAGUUGCCUACCAAAUGCAAACUAGUAACCCAGACGUGGGAGACCUAAUAUUCCAUUGUUAAUCUUUAGGUCCAUAAUUUUUAUUUCCUCUACUUGCCUCUUCUUCCUUCCU